RNAcentral lists this ribosomal RNA (449 nucleotides) under uncultured bacterium. Its description in RNAcentral is "bacterial SSU rRNA". It matches the Rfam family "Bacterial small subunit ribosomal RNA", at positions 355 to 796 of the family's 1533-position model. The record is from RNAcentral.
UGGGGAAUCUUGCGCAAUGCGCGAAAGCGUGACGCAGCAACGCCGCGUGGGGGAAGACGGCCUUCGGGUUGUAAACCCCUUUCAGGAGGGACGAAGGUUCGCCGGUGAAUAGCCGUGCGGAUUGACGGUACCUCCACAAGAAGCUCCGGCUAACUACGUGCCAGCAGCCGCGGUAAUACGUAGGGAGCAAGCGUUGUCCGGAAUCAUUGGGCGUAAAGCGCGCGUAGGUGGCUUCGUAAGUCCGUUGUGAAAGUCAAAGGCUCAACCUUUGAAUGCCGAUGGAUACUGCGGAGCUAGAGUACGGAAGAGGCGAGUGGAAUUCCUGGUGUAGCGGUGGAAUGCGCAGAUAUCAGGAGGAACACCAAUAGCGAAGGCAGCUCGCUGGGACGUUACUGACACUAAGGCGCGAAAGCGUGGGGAGCGAACAGGAUUAGAUACCCCCGUAGUCC